This 443-nucleotide ribosomal RNA is filed under the name uncultured bacterium. RNAcentral's name for it is "partial 16S ribosomal RNA". It matches the Rfam family "Bacterial small subunit ribosomal RNA", at positions 338 to 795 of the family's 1533-position model. The record is from RNAcentral.
CCUACGGGAGGCAGCAGUGGGGAAUAUUGGACAAUGGGGGGAACCCUGAUCCAGCGACGCCGCGUGAGUGAAGAAGUAUUUCGGUAUGUAAAGCUCUAUCAGCAGGGAAGAAAGAAAUGACGGUACCUGACUAAGAAGCCCCGGCUAACUACGUGCCAGCAGCCGCGGUAAUACGUAGGGGGCAAGCGUUAUCCGGAUUUACUGGGUGUAAAGGGAGCGUAGACGGCGAUGCAAGCCAGAUGUGAAAGCCCGGGGCUCAACCCCGGGACUGCAUUUGGAACUGUGUGGCUGGAGUGUCGGAGAGGCAGGCGGAAUUCCUAGUGUAGCGGUGAAAUGCGUAGAUAGUAGGAGGAACACCAGUGGCGAAGGCGGCCUGCUGGACGAUGACUGACGUUGAGGCUCGAAAGCGUGGGGAGCAAACAGGAUUAGAUACCCGGGUAGUC